Molecule: long non-coding RNA, 432 nt
Filed under: Chinchilla lanigera (long-tailed chinchilla)
Lineage: Eukaryota; Metazoa; Chordata; Mammalia; Rodentia; Chinchillidae
Description: lncRNA (ENSCLAG00000025438.1)
Source: RNAcentral
GAAACCUGUUCUCUACAGAUACUAAAACUAUUGCUGUCUUGAUUUCACCUUCUCAGCCUCCUGAACUGUGAGAUACACAUUCCUAUUAUCUAUGAAUUAUCAAGUAUUGGAUAUUUUGUCAUUGUAACUCCAAUGGAUAUGACAGUGAAGCUUCACUUUUAAAAAGCAAUCAUGAAAACCCUGGGAAAGAAAAUCUGGUUUUAAUAUUCUGACAAUGGCUGAAUUACCGUGAUACUGACUGAAGCUUUGAUCAUGCAAGUGAAAUAAGGGCAUCAAAGGAUUUGGAAGACAUCCCGUGGCCCACACAUUCGAGUCAACAUGUGUGUUAACACAGGGCCUGUUUGCUUUGUUUACUGUUUUACAAUUCAGUAAUCCUGCCACAAGUGUACAGCUGAAGUAAAUGACAUGAGGAUGUACAAUAGAUGCACUCCA